This 73-nucleotide transfer RNA is filed under the name Thuja standishii. Its description in RNAcentral is "tRNA-Met". It matches the Rfam family "tRNA". Rfam says of the family: Transfer RNA (tRNA) molecules are approximately 80 nucleotides in length. Their secondary structure includes four short double-helical elements and three loops (D, anti-codon, and T loops). Lineage: Eukaryota; Viridiplantae; Streptophyta; Pinopsida; Cupressales; Cupressaceae. The record is from RNAcentral.
ACCCACUUAACUCAGUGGUUAGAGUAUCGCUUUCAUACGGCGAGAGUCAUUGGUUCGAAUCCAAUAGUAGGUA